This 402-nucleotide ribosomal RNA is filed under the name uncultured bacterium. Its description in RNAcentral is "partial 16S ribosomal RNA". It matches the Rfam family "Bacterial small subunit ribosomal RNA", at positions 360 to 776 of the family's 1533-position model. The record is from RNAcentral.
AAUAUUGGGCAAUGGGGGAAACCCUGACCCAGCGACGUCGCGUGAGGGAAGAAGGUCUUCGGAUUGUAAACCUUUGUCAACAGGGAAGAAGCAAGUGACGGUACCCGAAGAGGAAGCCACGUCUAACUACGUGCCCGCAGCCGCGGUAAUACGUAGGUGGCGAGCGUUAUCCGGAAUUACUGGGUGUAAAGGGUGUGUAUGCGGGGAUGCAAGUCAGAUGUGAAAUCCAUGGGCUCAACCUAUGGGGUGCAUUUGAAACUGCGUUUCUUGAGUGUGGGAGAGGUAAGCGGAAGUCCUAGUGUAGCGGUGAAAUGCGUAGAUAUUAGGAGGAACACCAGUGGCGAAGGCGGCUUACUGGACCACAACUGACGCUGAGACACGAAAGCGUGGGGAGCAAACAGG